This 456-nucleotide ribosomal RNA is filed under the name Hepatocystis sp. RNAcentral describes it as "SSU rRNA". It matches the Rfam family "Eukaryotic small subunit ribosomal RNA", at positions 197 to 645 of the family's 1831-position model. Lineage: Eukaryota; Apicomplexa; Aconoidasida; Haemosporida; Plasmodiidae. The record is from RNAcentral.
AAUACAGUACUUGUUAUGCCUUAUUAAAAAAAAGUUUUAUAACAUAAGGAAUUAUAACAAAGAAGCAACACAUAAAAUAUGACAUUCAUAUUUUUUAGUGUGUAUCAAUCGAGUUUCUGACCUAUCAGCUUUUGAUGUUAGGAUAUGGGCCUAACAUGGCUAUGACGGGUAACGGGGAAUUAGAGUUCGAUUCCGGAGAGGGAGCCUGAGAAACGGCUACCACAUCUAAGGAAGGCAGCAGGCGCGUAAAUUACCCAAUUCUAAAGAAGAGAGGUAGUGACAAGAAAUAAUAGGACAAGACUAAUUUUUUAGUUUUGUAUCUGUGCUGAUAGAAUUUUAAAACCAUUCUAAAAUUCCAUUGGAGGGCAAGUCUGGUGCCAGCAGCCGCGGUAAUUCCAGCUCCAAUAGCGUAUAUUAAAGUUGCUGCAGUUAAAAAGCUCGUAGUUGGAUUUCAAA